This 301-nucleotide ribosomal RNA is filed under the name uncultured bacterium. RNAcentral describes it as "partial 16S ribosomal RNA". It matches the Rfam family "Bacterial small subunit ribosomal RNA", at positions 509 to 807 of the family's 1533-position model. The record is from RNAcentral.
CAGUAGCCACGGGAAUACGGAGGGUGCAAGCGUUAAUCGGAAUUACUGGGCGUAAAGCGCACGCAGGCGGUCUGACAAGUCAGAUGUGAAAUCCCCGGGCUUAACCUGGGAACUGCAUUUGAAACUGUCAGGCUGGAGUCUUGUAGAGGGGGGUAGAAUUCCAGGUGUAGCGGUGAAAUGCGUAGAGAUCUGGAGGAACACCGAUGGCGUAGGCAAUCCCCUGGGCCUGUACUGACGCUCAUGCACGAAAGCGUGGGGAGCAAACAGGAUUAGAUACCCGCGUAGUCCCUGUCUCUUAUAC